Molecule: long non-coding RNA, 1917 nt
Filed under: Triticum aestivum (bread wheat)
Lineage: Eukaryota; Viridiplantae; Streptophyta; Magnoliopsida; Poales; Poaceae
Description: long non-coding RNA (TAES_LNC020684)
Source: RNAcentral
ACUAUAUGUACAUAAUAGCAUGUUCUCCAUCAAUAUUCUUCAUUUAUAUAAGAGGGAUCAUCGUGUCAUUUAGCUGGCAGUAGCACCGGCGUCUUCUUUGCAUGUACUUUUACUUUUCCAGACUUCUUUCAUCAUUUCACAUGUAGAGCUAAAUCAAAUUGCUCCUAUGGAAGUCGUAACCCAAGUAGACAGUUUGAACCGAUUGCGACUACCAAUUUUCUUUACAAAUCCAGUAGAAGUUGCAGAUAUAACAGCUCAGAUAGCUCAGUAAAUGACACGCUGCAUAGCAAUCUUUGCGGAAGAACUAAAAGAACACAAAAAUAUUAUAAUCUCUAUCUAAUUCACAAAGGCACCACAAGAAGAUAGUGUGCAACAAUAUGUUAUGAAAACACAAACGAAAAACUAUUUGGUUUUUCAACUAUUGUUCAUCUGAUGAACAACUCAAAGUUUUAAUUAUUGAAAUCUACUGCCUAAUAUAUGCAAUGCUAGUGUCCGAGGUACCAAAUUAGUGAUUCUUAUUUGUUCAUUUCCUACACUUUUUAUGAAGAAAACGUGAAAUGCUGGAAACAUCUAAUUAUGGUUAAACGAAUGCAUUGUAAAUUGAUAUCCACAUGAUACAAAAAUAAUUGCAUCCAUGUGCUAGAGCUAAAACAAUAUUAUGCAAUAUGAAUGUGAGUUCUAUAGAAAUUAACUUCACAAAUCAGCAAACAUUAUGGGCCAUAUACCAUAAAAUAAUCUUGUGAGGGAUGGAGAUUGACCUCUAAUCUCCUUGCUUUGCUUCCUUCUUAGUUUUCAUAGUGCUUGGCCUUGUUGGUUGUGCGAAAGGUUGUUCUCACCUAUUGUCAUGAUUUUAUCUGCUGACCAGUCAUAACUGCACACUAAAAAACUAAACGACGUUCGGAGCAUGCAUCCAUGCCUAUUCUGAAAACAACAUUCAGCUGUCAAUCAUGAAUCAGACAUGCGCUUGCAGUCUUGAGACCAGUACAACUAUAUGUACAUAAUAGCAUGUUCUCCAUCAAUAUUCUUCAUUUAUACAAGAGGGACCAUUGUGUCAUUUAGCUGGCAGUAGCACCGGCGUCUUCUUUGCAUGUACUUUUACUUUUCCAGACUUCUUUCAUCAUUUCACAUGUAGAGCUAAAUCAAAUUGCUCCUAUGGAAGUCGUAACCCAAGUAGACAGUUUGAACCGAUUGCGACUACCAAUUUUCUUUACAAAUCCAGUAGAAGUUGCAGAUAUAAUAGCUCAGAUAGCUCAGUAAAUGACACGCUGCAUAGCAAUCUUUGCAGAAGAACUAAAAGAACGCAAAAAUAUUAUAAUCUCUAUCUAAUUCACAAAGACACCACAAGAAGAUAGUGUGCAAGCAUAUGUUAUGAAAACACAAACGAAAAACUAUUUGGUUUUUCAACUAUUGUUCAUCUGAUGAACAACUCAAAAGUUUUAAUUAUUGAAAUCUACUGCCUAAUAUAUGCAAUGCUAGUGUCCGAGGUACCAAAUUAGUGAUUCUUAUUUGUUCAUUUCCUCCACUUUUUAUGAAGAAAACGUGAAAUGCCGGAAACAUCUAAUUAUGGUUAAACGAAUGCAUUAUAAAUUGAUAUACACAUGAUACAAAAAUAAUUGCAUCCAUGUGCUAGAGCUAAAACAAUAUUAUGCAAUAUGAAUGUGAGUUCUAUAGAAAUUAACUUCACAAAUCAGCAAACAUUAUGGGCCAUAUACCAUAAAAUAAACGUGAAAUGCCGGAAACAUCUAAUUAUGGUUAAACGAAUGCAUUAUAAAUUGAUAUACACAUGAUACAAAAAUAAUUGCAUCCAUGUGCUAGAGCUAAAACAAUAUUAUGCAAUAUGAAUGUGAGUUCUAUAGAAAUUAACUUCACAAAUCAGCAAACAUUAUGGGCCAUAUACCAUAAAAUAAUCUUGUCAGG